This 313-nucleotide ribosomal RNA is filed under the name uncultured bacterium. Its description in RNAcentral is "bacterial SSU rRNA". It matches the Rfam family "Bacterial small subunit ribosomal RNA", at positions 30 to 325 of the family's 1533-position model. The record is from RNAcentral.
AGUGAACGCUGGCGGCAGGCCUAACACAUGCAAGUCGAGCGGCAGCGGGUCCCCGCGAGGGGAUGCCGGCGAGCGGCGGACGGGUGAGGAACACAUCGGAAUCUGCCUGGUUGUGGGGGAUAACGUAGGGAAACUUACGCUAAUACCGCAUGCGACCCUGAGUCGACGGACUGGGGGUGAAAGUGAGGGACCUUCGGGCCUCACGCGACCAGAUGAGCCGAUGUCGGAUUAGCUAGUUGGCGGGGUAACGGCCCGCCAAGGCGACGAUCCGUAGCUGGUCUGAGAGGAUGAUCAGCCACACUGGGACUGAGAC